GUUGCUGCUGUUGAAAGAAGAGUUCCGUCCAAUAGAUUAUACGUCACACUAUCAGCAUUGUAACACUAUCACCAGUGUAACAACACAGAGUGGUUUAGGACUUAGUUGUAACUUGUAACUUAGUUGUAGUCACAAUCUGGUUACCUACAAGCAGUUAUGUUUUUGAAUUAUUACAUAUUUCUUAAUUUAUUUCUGAAUAUCUUCUAAACUACCCACAAUGCACCUUUUCCACAACGUAAUAUGGAUGAUCUACUCUGUGCUGCGGAGUUUGUAUGCUGGUUUAGUAUCAAGCUCAAGCUUGCAAACGUAGCCACAACUCGUGCUUUUCAUGAACUGUGUGGUUGUGUUAUCUAGUGGGAACUCGUUAGCACUGUAGGCUCUGGUGCCUUCUUGCCAUGGGCUCAAAAUAAAAGCCUUCCUCUCCUCUGAUGACCCAGUGAGGGUGAAGCUCAGAGAGCUGUUGAGGGACUGGUUAGGAAGAACACUUCUACAGCCAGAGAGGUGAGAGGUCACACAUGGUUUAGAUGGUAAAUAUUUAUGUUCCCUUAGCAGUUCAUUACCUAAGCAAAAGGGAAUAUGUUCCAUCAGCUAUGUUUAUUUACAUUAGUGCAAAUUGUCCACCGAUAUGGGUGUAAUUUCUCACCCCUCUUGGCUGUAUGAAAGUUAAUUUCUCUUCAGGCACACACAUUUGUUCUUUGAUAUUAUGAAGGUCAUUUGUGUCAAAUGUAAUUUUCCCCACAUCUCUUUACAUUGCUUAUGCAUAUUCGGUGGCCAGACUCAAAUUCCGAACGCAAUGCCCAUCCUGACAGAUAUUAACCUAAUGCAGCUUGGAGUGAUCAGAUGACAGAAGUCACAUUUUUGCUUAUCCCAGUCUGCUGUUCCCACAUGCUUCAAGAGGGCCACCAUUGUUCCUGUUCCCAAGAAAUCUAAGGUAACUGAGCUAAACGACUACCGCCCCGUAGCACUCACUUCCGUCAUCACGAAGUGCUUUGAGAGACUAGUCAAGGACCAUAUCACCUCCACCCUACCUGACACCCUAGACCCACUCCAAUUUGCUUACCGCCCAAAUAGGUCCACAGACGAUGCAAUCUCAACCACACUGCACACUGCCCUAACCCACCUGGACAAGAGGAAUACCUAUGUGAGAAUGCUGUUCAUCGACUACAACUCAGAAUUUAACACCAUAGUACCCUCCAAACUUGUCAUCAAGCUGGGACCCUGGGUCUCGACCCCACCCUGUGCAACUGGGUACUGGACUUCCUGACGGGUCGCCCCCAGAUGGUGACUAGUCGGAACUAGAAGCACAAGCAUUUCGCUACACUCGCAUUAACAUCUGCUAACCAUGUGUAUGUGACGAAUAAAUUUGAUUUGAUAUUUAGGUGCCAGGUGUAACUGAGGCUGUAGAUGCUCCAUAUCCAUUACUUUGUGUUUUAUAUAAUAUGACUAAAUGUGUUUCUGUGUUGCAGGGGCAGUCAAGAAAUGGAACGGCAAGGCCACAGAACAUGACAUAAUCAGAGCUGUGGGAGACCACCUCAAGCCCCUGGUAGAGCCGGGGGUGGUGUUUACCACUCCUUCAGCAGGCUUGAAACGUGGGAUUGAUACUGUUUGAGCCAUUUGUUUGUUUCCGUUUUCAGUAGUUGAACGCUUUUACAUGGGAUUGAUACUGUGAACUGUGAAGGACCUCGGCGUUACUCUGGACCCUGAUCUCUCUUUUGAAGAACAUAUCAAGACCAUUUCAAGGACAGCUUUUUUCCAUCUACGUAACAUUGCAAAAAUCAGAAACUUUCUGUCCAAAAAUGAUGCAGAAAAAUUAAUCCAUGCUUUUGUCACUUCUAGGUUAGACUACUGCAAUGCUCUACUUUCCGGCUACCCGGAUAAAGCACUAAAUAAACUUCAGUUAGUGCUAAAUACGGCUGCUAGAAUCCUGACUAGAACCAAACGAUUUGAUCAUAUUACUCCAGUGCUAGCCUCCCUACACUGGCUUCCUGUCAAGGCAAGGGCUGAUUUCAAGGUUUUACUGCUAACCUACAAAGCAUUACAUGGGCUUGCUCCUACCUAUCUCUCUGAUUUGGUCCUGCCGUACAUACCUACAUGUAUGCUACGUUCACAAGACGCAGGCCUCCUAAUUGUCCCUAGAAUUUCUAAGCAAACAGCUGGAGGCAGGGCUUUCUCCUAUAGAGCUCCAUUUUUAUGGAACGGUCUGCCUACCCAUGUCAGAGAAGCAAACUCGGUCUCAACCUUUAAGUCUUUACUGAAGACUCAUCUCUUCAGUGGGUCAUAUGAUUGAGUGUAGUCUGGCCCAGGAGUGGGAGGGUGAACGGAAAGGCUCUGGAGCAACGAACCGCCCUUGCUGUCUCUGCCUGGUCCAUUCCCCUCUUUCCACUGGGAUUCUCUGCCUCUAACCCUAUUACAGGGGCUGAGUCACUGGCUUACUGGGGCUCUUUCAUACCGUCCCUGAGGAGGGGUGCGUCACUUGAGUGGGUUGAGUCACUGAUGUGAUCUUCCUGUCUGGGUUGGCGCCCCCCCCUUGGGUUGUGCCAUGGCGGAGAUCUUUGUGGGCUAUACUCGGCCUUGUCUCAUGAUGGUAGGUGGUGGUUGAAGAUAUCCCUCUAGUGGUGUGGGGGCUGUGCUUUGGCAAAAUGGGUGGGGUUAUAUCCUUCCUGUUUGGCCCUGUCCGGGGGUGUCCUCGGAUAGGGCCACAGUGUCUCCUGACCCCUCCUGUCUCAGCCUCCAGUAUUUAUGCUGCAGUAGUUUAUGUGUCGGGGGGGCUAGGGUCAGUUUGUUAUAUCUGGAGUACUUCUCCUGUCCUAUUUGGUGUCCUGUGUGAAUUUAAGUGUACUCUCUCUAAUUCUCUCUUUCUCUCUCGGAGGACCUGAGCCCUAGGACCAUGCCUCAGGACUACCUGACAUGAUGACUCCUUGCUGUCCGUAGUCCACCUGGCUGUGCUGCUGCUCCAGUUUCAACUGAUCUGCCUUAUUAUUAUUGGACCAUGCUGGUCAUUUAUGAACAUUUGAACAUCUUGGCCAUGUUCUGUUAUAAUCUCCACCCGGCACAGCCAGAAGAGGACUGGCCACCCCACAUAGCCUGGUUCCUCUCUAGGUUUCUUCCUAGGUUUUGGCCUUUCUAGGGAGUUUUUCCUAGCCACCGUGCUUCUACACCUGCAUUGCUUGCUGUUUGGCGUUUUAGGCUGGGUUUCUGUACAGCACUUUGAGAUAUCAGCUGAUGUACGAAGGGCUAUAUAAAUCAAUUUGAUUUGAUAACUAGUCGUUUCCUCAUUAGCAGGGAGGAGUUUCUGCAAUCAAAUUGUGUGUGCAUUGCCCUCGUGGCGCAAUUUUACUAAACACAGAAGGGGCCUAUAUUGGAGACCAAAAGUCGUCUGGUACAGUGCUUAGGAUUUCAACAACUUGAAUAACAUAUUUCUAGCCUACAAUCAUUGAUGUUACUACUAAUGUGAAGACAAAUUUAGACUAUUCUUUCUCAUUUUAACAUUCAUUACAGAUGUCAAUUGUUGUACAACAUCAUGGCUACGCUUUUGGUAUCAACUUUUACAGUGUAUUUCUGCUGUUGUGGGCCUUUAACCAUCUGUAUGACUUUGUUGUUGACACAGGAGAUAGACAUGACUAUUGUGGAUCCUCUGGGGAGCCUCAACAACCUCAUGAUGCUGAAGAGGCAGAGAAGAGUCUCCAGAUUAGAACACCUCAGGAAACACUAGCGGAGACCCACAGGGAAGAGAACUCACUGCUGCUCUGACUGUGGGAAGAGAUUCACCUCCUCAUCAGGCAUUAAAAUUCAUCAGAGAAUCCAUACAGGAGAGAAACCUUUUAGCUGCUCUGACUGUGGGAAGAGUUUUCUUUUCUCAGGACAAUUAAAAUCUCACCAGAGAACACACACAGGAGUGAAAACGUAUUGCUGUGAUCAAUGUGGGAAGAGUUUUGCUCAGCCACCCAUCCUGAUAUCACACCAGAGAACACACACAGGAGAGAAAUCUUAUAGCUGUAAUCAAUAUGGGAUGAGUUUUACUCAGCCACACACACCCUGAUAUCACACCAGAGAACACACACAGGAGAGAAAUCUUAUAGCUGUGAUCAAUGUGACAAGAUCUCUGAUAAAAUAUAUCUGAUUAAUAAACAUCAGAAAAUACAUGCAUGAAAGAGUUGUUUCAUUAUAUCAAUUAAAUAAUGUCACAAUGUAGAAUGUUUUAACAUUGUAGAAUGAGUAUUUGGGUGCUGAUUGUCUCAAGGGUGGGCAGUCAACAAGUUUUGUGUUUUGUAUUUAGCCAGUGCAUUGCCAUGGAUCACAAUUUAUUUUGACUGCAAGUUUUUCUGUUUUGGUGAUGAGUUUUGUUUGGCUCAUUCCAAGGGGAGGAGAGGUCUAGAAGCUAGUUACUUUUAGGAAGAAGUUUAUCAGAACUAUUUUUAGGAUUCUAUAGAAAGAAAAAGGAGAAAAAAAUUAAACUAUUGUAUAUUAUUAUUUAGAAAUACGUGUUUUUGUUUUUAAUUGUUGACAGCCAGUAGACACCAUGUUUAUAUUGUAGAAAGUGAAGCAUUGUAGUCAAUUAUAAUGUGAAAUGGAAGUUGUUUUCUGUUGGCGGUGAGCAAACUUGUCCAACAAAAAUAUAGGAUAUAUUUGUUGUCUUAAGGGGGAAGGUGUUUCAGGCUUUGGUUUUUUUCAUUUAUGUUUUGAGGUUGGACUUUAGCACGUAUAGCUCGUUAGCAAGUAGGCUGCACUCAUUGGUGUCACCUCGUUAGUCAGAAUGUGUUACACCUGUGCUCCCUUGUCCAUCUCGUUGAAUAUUGCAUCCAAUUGUUAAUAUUUUAUUUUUUAAUUUUCAUUGUUUAUUAUUUGUUUUUUUCCUGUGAAGCCAUUGUGUUGCAUCCAUGUCUGACAUGUGCUAUAUAAAUAAAACUUGAUUUGAACAUA
This is a long non-coding RNA of Oncorhynchus nerka (sockeye salmon), 4920 nucleotides long. RefSeq lists it as uncharacterized. The record is from RefSeq and is a predicted model, not a curated record. NCBI's taxonomy places the organism in Eukaryota, Metazoa, Chordata, Actinopteri, Salmoniformes, Salmonidae. The transcript is spliced from 2 exons.